RNAcentral lists this long non-coding RNA (1923 nucleotides) under Canis lupus familiaris (dog). RNAcentral describes it as "lncRNA (ENSCAFG00845004450.1)". The record is from RNAcentral. Lineage: Eukaryota; Metazoa; Chordata; Mammalia; Carnivora; Canidae.
UUUUCUAUUACAAAUUAUGCAUAAACUUACUUCAAAGUUGGUGAGCUUUUGAAAAUCACUGUUAUCCAGCUUAAGAUACUGAACGGCCACUGCCAGUUUCAUCUGCCAAGUAAUGAAAGUUGUUCUUCAAGGAAGUUAUUUAGUUCUAUGAGAGUUUAAAAUGAGUCUGCUAAAAAAAGAUGGAUCUUCAGAUCCAGGGCAAAUAUGCAGUACAAGGUAUACCUUAAGUUGAAAUACAUGAGCUGCCUAUAACUACAGCAGUUUUCAAUGAAGAAAAGCUUACUUCCUAAUACAAAAAAGAAUUCACUUUUCAGCUAAACAACUGAUGUGCAAAAGGUAAGUUAAAAGUCAUAAUACGGGCAGCCCGGGUGGCUCAGUGGUUUAGCGCCGCCUUCAGCCCAGGGUGUGAUCCUAGAGACCCAGGAUCGAGUCCCACGUUGGACUCCCUGCAUGGAGCCUGCUUCACCCUCUGCCUAUGUCUCUGCCUCUCUCUCUCUCUCUCUUUCUCUCUAUCUAUCUAUCUCUGUGUCUCUGAGUGAAUAAAAUCUUUUUAAAAAAAGUCAUAAUACCAUAUUUAACAGCUAACUGAAGAGAAAAAACUACCAUGUCACUGACAUUUAAUCAUGGAGUUAAAUAAAUGGUUCAUUUUUCAGGUGUACUUCUACUUGCCACACAUUUGGGAUGGGCUUUACGAAGUACAGCAUGUAUCAAAGACAUACAAAUUAUCCACCUGGGAGUUUUAUUGAAACUGCUUAAGUUUAUCUGGAUUCAGUAAAUUCCUUUGAAUUCUUCUCCUAAUUAUUAUUUUUGAUAGGCUCUUAAUAGAAAUAAGAAUCAAUAAAUAACUGUUGCUAUUUUAUUAACUCAUGCUACCCUCAUGGUAUUCCUGUGGGAAAGGCUCAGUGAUUAACUUCAUUUUACACAGGAGGACACCAAGAAGUUAGGUAACCUGACUAAGGAGCACCGCCGACCAGAGCUUAAUCCAGGGUUCAAACCCAGGGUCAUGGACUGGAUGGCAUGAGUCCUUAACUCCCAAGAUCUUACUUCAUACUUCAUACUUACUUACUUUUCUCAAGUGGGAUGACCUAGAAACAGACCAGGAAGUACCGUAAAAGGUCAGACCCGGCACUUAACCUCAGUGUUCAAAUACGAAUCACAAUGCAAGAACAGUCUUAUCGAAGUGCUAUAGUUAGCAAUCUGGGUUAACAAUCACUGGAAAAAAAACAUAGCCUAGAAUGCCCAUGGGCUUUGUUCUCUCAUUCAUUUCUAGGAAAAUGUUAGUUAUUUGCCCUCUAGGGAGUUGGGAGGGGAAGACCAGGGGUUCUCCUAGGGAUUGUUACAGCUGACAAAUGACCAAGGUAACUCUCCAUGGAGCGGCGUUUUGAGUUUCUAGCCGAUGCAUCUUCGUACACCAAUCUUCUCAGCAGGCAAAGGUAGCAGAGAUCAGAGGGCUGUGGAUGAGGGCAUGGUCAGGGGCUUGGUUAGAGGGCAAAGAAGGGUCUACAUAUGAGGAUAUGAGGAUACCAAAAUGACAAGUAAAACUAAGCGGGGACAAGAAAGAACCCAGGGCUGAUAGCUAAACAAGGUCUUCCACAGAGCUCGGAAAUUACUGGUCUUUAAAGCACCCCAAGGCAAGUGGCCCCAUGAAUCCAUCUUUUGCCGCUCUGUGGGCUGAAUUAUACUCCACACGAUAUACUAAAGACAGCCAUGAACAGCUUUUAUAGCUUUGAUAAAUGGCUUUUUAGUUUAGGUUGCAUUAUGAGAACAAAACAAGUGGUCAUGAAUCAUAACAUUUUAUGGGUCUGCUGCUUCAUAUAGUUUUCUAAAAUUAAGCCUCUAAAUUAUACUCCGCCCUCAUUAGGAAAAGCAUCCCAGAUAGAGAAAACCAUUUCAGAGACAAUGGUAGACCUAUGACUGGAGACC